CGGGUAGUAUCCCUAGGGGAACUGCACCUUUUUCCUGACAAAUAAAAUAUUUUGCCGCUUGGAGCCGAAGGGACCGAGACGGGGGG
Molecule: non-coding RNA, 86 nt
Filed under: Desulforamulus reducens MI-1
Lineage: Bacteria; Bacillati; Bacillota; Clostridia; Eubacteriales; Peptococcaceae
Description: pan motif
Rfam family: pan motif
Source: RNAcentral